RNAcentral lists this ribosomal RNA (402 nucleotides) under uncultured bacterium. Its description in RNAcentral is "bacterial SSU rRNA". It matches the Rfam family "Bacterial small subunit ribosomal RNA", at positions 356 to 755 of the family's 1533-position model. The record is from RNAcentral.
GAGGAAUAUUGGGCAAUGCCCGCAAGGGUGACCCAGCAACGCCGCGUGGAGGAUGAAUGUCGUAAGAUUGUAAACUCCUGUUAGAGGGGAAGAAUAGUACCGGUUGGACCGGUAUAUGACUGUACCCUCAGAGAAAGCCCCGGCUAACUACGUGCCAGCAGCCGCGGUAAUACGUAGGGGGCAAGCGUUGUCCGGAUUUACUGGGUGUAAAGGGCGCGCAGGCGGGAUAAAAAGUCAGUGGUGAAAUCCUACAGCUUAACUGGAGAACUGCCUUUGAUACUUUUAUUCUUGAGUUCGAGAGAGAGAGACGGAAAUCCAGGUGUAGUGGUUAAAUACGUAGAUAUCUGGAAGAACACCAGUUGCGAAGGCGGUCUCUUGGUCCGACACUGACGCUGAGGCGCG